ACCGCAUACGUCCUACGGGAGAAAGCAGGGGACCUUCGGGCCUUGCGCUAUCAGAUGAGCCUAGGUCCCCUUAGCUAGUUGGUGAGGUAAUGGCUCACCGAGGCGACGAUCCGUAACUGGUCUGAGAGGAUGAUCAGUCACACUGGAACUGAGACACGGUCCAGACUCCUACGGGAGGCAGCAGUGGGGAAUAUUGGACAAUGGGCGAAAGCCUGAUCCAGCCAUGCCGCGUGUGUGAAGAAGGUCUUCGGAUUGUAAAGCACUUUAAGUUGGGAGGAAGGGUUGUAGAUUAAUACUCUGCAAUUUUGACGUUACCGACAGAAUAAGCACCGGCUAACUCUGGGGCAGCAGCCGCGGUAAUACAGAGGGUGCAAGCGUUAAUCGGAAUUACUGGGCGUAAAGCGCGCGUAGGUGGUUUGUUAAGUUGGAUGUGAAAUCCCCGGGCUCAACCUGGGAACUGCAUUCAAAACUGACUGACUAGAGUAUGGUAGAGGGUGGUGGAAUUUCCUGUGUAGCGGUGAAAUGCGUAAAUAUAGGAAGGA
Molecule: ribosomal RNA, 542 nt
Filed under: uncultured bacterium
Lineage: Bacteria
Description: bacterial SSU rRNA
Rfam family: Bacterial small subunit ribosomal RNA
Source: RNAcentral